GAGACAUGGUCGCCUAUCUCAAGAAUGGAUCACUCUCCUAGCUGCAUAGCUAUAUGAAAGACCUAAUCUCCUAUCUAAAGAAGAUACCUCUUUCUUAGCUUUCUAACUAUAGGAGAGACCUAAUCCCCUAUCUGAAGAAGAGACCUUAUAGAUUUCUAGCAAGAAGAGAGACCAAGAUGACUAGCUAAACAAGAAGCUAUCUAGGAAAAUCACACCUUAUACCACAC
This 227-nucleotide long non-coding RNA is filed under the name Brassica napus (rape). Its description in RNAcentral is "long non-coding RNA (BNAP_LNC023323)". Lineage: Eukaryota; Viridiplantae; Streptophyta; Magnoliopsida; Brassicales; Brassicaceae. The record is from RNAcentral.